This 326-nucleotide long non-coding RNA is filed under the name Gossypium barbadense (sea-island cotton). Its description in RNAcentral is "long non-coding RNA (GBAR_LNC018336)". The record is from RNAcentral. Lineage: Eukaryota; Viridiplantae; Streptophyta; Magnoliopsida; Malvales; Malvaceae.
CCCAAGCUCUGUAUCUCACUAUGUACGUGUGGCACAAAAACGACCAUGUCAUCCAGUUUUCACAUGGUUGUGUCAUUAGACCCUGUCUACCACACGGCAGUGUGGCUAGUCAGUGUAACAUUUGGGAACCAUGUGAACCAAAAAGCAACAAUUUUAAAAUAAACACAUGGACGUGCCUCCGGCCUGUGAAGGAAAAAAAAUACACCAUUUAAUUACCCAAUUCAUGCCAAGACAAAAAAAAGGCUUAAAUGGUGCAUAUUUGUGCAUUUAAACUUGCAUAAAACCAACUAAUACUUAUACCAUCAUGCAUUUGGCCAACUACGAGA